CCUACGGGAGGCAGCAGUGGGGGAUAUUGCACAAUGGGGGGAACCCUGAUGCAGCGACGCCGCGUGGGUGAAGAAGCGCCUCGGCGCGUAAAGCCCUGUCAGCAGGGAAGAAAAUGACGGUACCUGAAGAAGAAGCCCCGGCUAACUACGUGCCAGCAGCCGCGGUAAUACGGAGGGGGCAAGCGUUAUCCGGAUUUACUGGGCGUAAAGGGAGCGUAGGCGGACUUUUAAGUGAGAUGUGAAAUACUCGGGCUCAACUUGAGUGCUGCAUUUCAAACUGGAAGUCUAGAGUGCAGGAGAGGAGAAUGGAAUUCCUAGUGUAGCGGUGAAAUGCGUAGAUAUUAGGAGGAACACCAGUGGCGAAGGCGGUCUGCUGGACAGCAACUGACGCUGAGGCGCGAAAGCGUGGGGAGCAAACAGGAUUAGAUACCCCUGUAGUC
This 440-nucleotide ribosomal RNA is filed under the name uncultured bacterium. RNAcentral's name for it is "partial 16S ribosomal RNA". It matches the Rfam family "Bacterial small subunit ribosomal RNA", at positions 338 to 795 of the family's 1533-position model. The record is from RNAcentral.